GACGAACGCUGGCGGCGUGCUUAACACAUGCAAGUCGAACGGAAAGGCCCCUUUGGGGGUACUCGAGUGGCGAACGGGUGAGUAACACGUGAGUAACCUGCCCUUGACUUCGGGAUAACUUCAGGAAACUGGGGCUAAUACCGGAUAGGAAUCCUUGCUGCAUGGUGGGGGUUGGAAAGCUUCGGCGGUUUUGGAUGGACUCGCGGCUUAUCAGCUUGUUGGUGGGGUAGUGGCUUACCAAGGCUUGAUGGGUAGGCGGGCCGGGAGGGCGGACGGCCACAUUGGGACUGAGAUACGGCCCAGACUCCUACGGGAGGCAGCAGUGGGGAAUAUUGCACAAUGGGCGGAAGCCUGAUGCAGCAACGCCGCGUGCGGGAUGACGGCCUUCGGGUUGUAAACCGCUUUCAGCAGGGGCGAAGCUUGUGGUGACGGUACCUGCAGAAGAAGCACCGGCUAACUACGUG
This 464-nucleotide ribosomal RNA is filed under the name uncultured bacterium. Its description in RNAcentral is "partial 16S ribosomal RNA". It matches the Rfam family "Bacterial small subunit ribosomal RNA", at positions 28 to 507 of the family's 1533-position model. The record is from RNAcentral.